Molecule: long non-coding RNA, 582 nt
Organism: Cercocebus atys (sooty mangabey)
Lineage: Eukaryota; Metazoa; Chordata; Mammalia; Primates; Cercopithecidae
Exons: 5
Source: RefSeq, a predicted model, not a curated record
CUGAGGUCAGGAGUUCGAGACCAGCCUGGACAACAUGUCAUGUUGCAGAAUCUUGAUCCAACAUCUGGAAUUUAUGCAGCCAUCUUGUUACCAACUCUAGUAUGAAGACAACAUGAAGAAUGAAAGUAUAGAAAGAUUAUUAAAAAGUAAAUGUCACACUUAGUUUUGAAUAAUAUAUGGUGCUCAUGAAUCAACCAAUCUUGGAGUCUGCUUUUCCUCUGAAUGUCAUAGUUUGGAAGACUACAGAAAAUUCAGCUAUGCACCUCAGAGGUCUGAGCCCAACUCUCUCAUCUUCUACCUUAUAUCAUUUCAAAAUAAGGCAAAUUCCACGAAGACACAGGAGACAGAUUGGCCUUUUUUAGACAUAAUGGGAUGCGAAAACAUAAAACACAAUAUCCAAACAAUGCUGGAAGUUCAAUAUACUGUGGAAUAUCAGUUGUUUAUCCUCAUGAUCGCAUGACUGAUUGGGAACCGUGCAUCACUGCAACUGCCCAGAAUCAUAAGUAUCAUACUACAUCUCAUCAUCCCAGGAAAACAUCAAAAAUGACCUCUAAGGAACCUACAGAACAUCUCAUCCAAACC